RNAcentral lists this ribosomal RNA (789 nucleotides) under Xanthoparmelia tucsonensis. Its description in RNAcentral is "SSU rRNA". Lineage: Eukaryota; Fungi; Ascomycota; Lecanoromycetes; Lecanorales; Parmeliaceae. The record is from RNAcentral.
GAGGAUGUAUAGCAAUAGCUAGUUGCAUCAUAGUAGAUAUGAUGCAAGAUCGACUAUGUUGAAUAAAAUUCUAGGUAGAAUUAUGAUAAUGACAUUGUCUGCCUAUGUGUCUUGACCAAAUUACGUGCCAGCAGUCGCGGUAAUACGUAGAAGACUAGUGUUAUUCAUGUUUAAUCGGUUUAAAGGGUACCUAGACGGUAGAUCAAGCUUUCUAAUAAAGGAAAAGGACUAGUUUACUAGAGUUACUUAUGAGGGGGUAUUAAAGUACUGCUGGUGUAGAGAUGAAAUUCUGUCAUACCUCUUUUCAAAAGAAAAACCAUGGCACAGGUAUAGGCGAAGGCAUCCCCUUAUGUGAUAACUGACGUUGAGGGACGAAGGCUUUGUGUAGCGAACAGGAUUAGAUACCCCAGUAGUCGAAGCAGAAAAUGAUGAAUGUCAUAGAUUAGAUAUAUAAGUUUAUUCUAUAAAUGAAAGUGUAAGCAUUCCMCCUCAUGAGUAAUUUGGCAACAUUGGAACUGAAAUCAUUAGACCGUUUCUGAAACCCGUAGUGAAGUAUGUUGUUUAAUUUGAUGUCCCGCAAAAAACCUUACCACAAUUUGAAUAUUUAUAUUGUUUAUUGUUUUAUUAUUAAUUUUCUUGAAGAAAAUUAAGAAAAAAGCAAUAAGAUAUAAUUACAAGCGUUGCACGGCUGUCUUCAGUUAAUGUCGCGAGACUUUGGUUAGUUCCAUUAAAUUAACGUAAACCCUUACUUUAUUUUUAUAUAGAGUAGUUCCCCGCUAUAUUGGAUAU